This 250-nucleotide long non-coding RNA is filed under the name Homo sapiens (human). RNAcentral describes it as "HSALNT0005146". Lineage: Eukaryota; Metazoa; Chordata; Mammalia; Primates; Hominidae. The record is from RNAcentral.
CCCCAUGGUCCUUCCGCUUGGGGCAACCAGCUCAGGAGGAAGUACCAUGUGCUGGUUCCCAACUCAGCGGGAGAGUCAACAGUGUGUUCUCGUGGGCCAGCCAGGCAUCAGGGAUCCUGCUCCCUGGAAGCCUCUCUGUGAGCUCCCUGCCCCGUGGCUGCAAGCAUAUCCGAGGCUAAGGCGGGCCUUCCAGGAGGCUCACACUCAGCCAGGCUUCUCUGUGGAGAGAUGGGGUCUCACCAUGUUGCCA